This 28-nucleotide small RNA is filed under the name Bombyx mori (domestic silkworm). Its description in RNAcentral is "ovarian small RNA-15692". Lineage: Eukaryota; Metazoa; Arthropoda; Insecta; Lepidoptera; Bombycidae. The record is from RNAcentral.
GAGACGUGAUCAGUGAAGAUGUUUAUGG